Molecule: ribosomal RNA, 388 nt
Filed under: uncultured bacterium
Lineage: Bacteria
Description: bacterial SSU rRNA
Rfam family: Bacterial small subunit ribosomal RNA
Source: RNAcentral
ACGAACGCUGGCGGCAGGCCUAACACAUGCAAGUCGGACGAGAAGGUUCCUUCGGGAACUGGAGAGUGGCGCACGGGUGAGUAACGCGUGGGGACCUACCUCUUAGUGGGGGAUAACGGUUGGAAACGACCGCUAAUACCGCAUACGCCCUUCGGGGGAAAGAUUUAUCGCUAAGAGAUGGACCCGCGUUGGAUUAGAUAGUUGGUAAGGUAAUGGCUCACCAAGUCAGCGAUCCAUAGCUGGUUUGAGAGGAUGGAUCAGCCACACUGGGACUGAGACACGGCCCAGACUCCUACGGGAGGCAGCCAGUGGGGGAACUAUCGGACAAUGGGGGGCAAACCCUGAUCCAGCCAUGCCGCGUGAGUGAAGAAGGCCUUCGGGUUGUAAA